RNAcentral lists this transfer RNA (74 nucleotides) under Gekko hokouensis. RNAcentral describes it as "tRNA-Ser". It matches the Rfam family "tRNA". From Rfam's summary of the family: Transfer RNA (tRNA) molecules are approximately 80 nucleotides in length. The record is from RNAcentral. Lineage: Eukaryota; Metazoa; Chordata; Lepidosauria; Squamata; Gekkonidae.
AAAAGAUUAGUACCUAUAAUGGGGUAUUACUAGCUUGAAACUAGGAGGGGGGGGUUCGAAUCCCCCAUCUUUUG